Molecule: long non-coding RNA, 144 nt
Organism: Colius striatus (speckled mousebird)
Lineage: Eukaryota; Metazoa; Chordata; Aves; Coliiformes; Coliidae
Exons: 3
Source: RefSeq, a predicted model, not a curated record
GAAAGAAACAUUCUGACUGCACAGGGACAGCAGGAUUUCCCUGUCGUGCAUUUACCGAAACCUCCGCCUGGGUGAGCAGAUCUGCGGGCCCAAGGCAAAAAGCAGUUGACUGAAACCAUCUUGAUUUAGACGGGAAGAGCCUCA